This 468-nucleotide ribosomal RNA is filed under the name uncultured bacterium. RNAcentral describes it as "partial 16S ribosomal RNA". It matches the Rfam family "Bacterial small subunit ribosomal RNA", at positions 28 to 507 of the family's 1533-position model. The record is from RNAcentral.
GACGAACGCUGGCGGCGUGCUUAACACAUGCAAGUCGAACGGAAAGGCCCUUCUUUUGUGGGGUGCUCGAGUGGCGAACGGGUGAGUAACACGUGAGUAACCUGCCCUUGACUUUGGGAUAACUUCAGGAAACUGGGGCUAAUACCGGAUAGGAGCUCCUGCUGCAUGGUGGGGGUUGGAAAGUUUCGGCGGUUGGGGAUGGACUCGCGGCUUAUCAGCUUGUUGGUGGGGUAGUGGCUUACCAAGGCUUUGACGGGUAGCCGGCCUGAGAGGGUGACCGGCCACAUUGGGACUGAGAUACGGCCCAGACUCCUACGGGAGGCAGCAGUGGGGAAUAGUGCACAAUGGGCGGAAGCCUGAUGCAGCAACGCCGCGUGCGGGAUGACGGCCUUCGGGUUGUAAACCGCUUUCGCCUGUGACGAAGCGUGAGUGACGGUAAUGGGUAAAGAAGCACCGGCUAACUACGUG